UAAUACGUAGGGGGCGAGCGUUGUCCGGAUUCAUUGGGCGUAAAGCGCGUGUAGGCGGCAGUUUAAGUCGGCCGUGAAAUCUCCGGGCUUAACUCGGAGGGGUCGGGCGAGACUGGACUGCUCGAGGUGGGCAGAGGGCGGUGGAAUUCCGGGUGUAGUGGUGGAAUGCGUAGAGAUCCGGAGGAACACCAGUGGCGAAGGCGGCCGCCUGGGCCUGGCCUGACGCUGAGACGCGAAAGCGUGGGGAGCGAUCCGGAUUAGAUACCCGGGUAGUCCACGCCGUAAACGAUGGGCACUAGGUGUCGGGGGUAUCGACCCCCUCGGUGCCGGAGCUAACGCAAUAAGUGCCCCGCCUGGGGAGUACGGCCGCAAGGCUA
RNAcentral lists this ribosomal RNA (377 nucleotides) under uncultured bacterium. RNAcentral's name for it is "bacterial SSU rRNA". It matches the Rfam family "Bacterial small subunit ribosomal RNA", at positions 521 to 896 of the family's 1533-position model. The record is from RNAcentral.